RNAcentral lists this ribosomal RNA (441 nucleotides) under uncultured bacterium. RNAcentral describes it as "bacterial SSU rRNA". It matches the Rfam family "Bacterial small subunit ribosomal RNA", at positions 958 to 1399 of the family's 1533-position model. The record is from RNAcentral.
AACGCGAAGAACCUUACCUGGGCUCGAAAUGUAGUGGACCGUGGUGGAAACACCAUUUCCCAGCAAUGGGCUGCUAUAUAGGUGCUGCAUGGCUGUCGUCAGCUCGUGUCGUGAGAUGUUGGGUUAAGUCCCGCAACGAGCGCAACCCUUAUCUCCAGUUGCUACCAUUUAGUUGAGCACUCUGGCGAAACCGCCUCGGAUAACGGGGAGGAAGGUGGGGAUGACGUCAAGUCCUCAUGGCCUUUAUGUCCAGGGCUACACACGUGCUACAAUGGCCGGUACAAACCGCUGCAAACCCGCGAGGGGGAGCUAAUCGGAAAAAGCCGGCCUCAGUUCGGAUUGGAGUCUGCAACUCGACUCCAUGAAGCUGGAAUCGCUAGUAAUCGCGGAUCAGAACGCCGCGGUGAAUACGUUCCCGGGCCUUGUACACACCGCUCGCGA